RNAcentral lists this ribosomal RNA (253 nucleotides) under uncultured bacterium. Its description in RNAcentral is "partial 16S ribosomal RNA". It matches the Rfam family "Bacterial small subunit ribosomal RNA", at positions 524 to 776 of the family's 1533-position model. The record is from RNAcentral.
UACGAAGGGGGCUAGCGUUGCUCGGAAUCACUGGGCGUAAAGCGUGCGUAGGCUGCUUGGAAAGUUGGAAGUGAAAGCCCAGGGCUCAACCCUGGAAUUGCUUUCAAAACUACCAGGCUAGGAUUUGGGAGAGGAUAGCGGAAUUGUCAGUGUAGCAGUGAAAUGCGUAGAUAUUGACAGGAACACCAGUGGCGCAAGCGGCUAUCUGGACCAACAUCGACGCUGAGGCACGAAAGCGUGGGGAUCAAACAGG